This 540-nucleotide long non-coding RNA is filed under the name Danio rerio (zebrafish). Its description in RNAcentral is "si:ch73-167f10.1, transcript variant 2 (si:ch73-167f10.1)". The record is from RNAcentral. Lineage: Eukaryota; Metazoa; Chordata; Actinopteri; Cypriniformes; Danionidae.
GAUCCGCACAUCACUAGCACGCGCUAAUGGCGGAUCUGCGUGAAGAGAUGAGCACUGCUGACAACGAGCAAAGUCUGCUAAAACCUCGACAGCAGCUAAUGGGGAAUGAGAGUGGAGCUGACGGUCGUAAAAAGGAGAAGCGUUCAUCUUCCUCAGAUGAACAGCCUCCGGAAAGUAUAAUAAAAAAGAAAAAGGACAGUACUUGUGCACGGAAAUGCACAAAAUGCAGUGCUUGUAAAGAAAAGAUAAAGAAGUUGGAGGAAGACAACCGACGGCUACGUCAACAUUUGGACAGCUUAAGUGAGUUGAAAAGCAUGGUGUGUGAUCUCAAGGAGUUCUUAGAAGUAAGACAGCCUUCUUCAAGCCAUUAAAAUAUAACGCAUCCAUGUGAGGAUGAGGAUCCACGGCAGUUCACCUGGACUCCCUGAUAUGUUCUGAUCUGAUUUGUUCUGUGGCUGCAUUUUCUCUGGUUCUGGUGCUGGCUGCAUCAAUUAUCUCCACCUUUAUUUGUUCACAUUAAAUCAAUUGCAAUUGGAUUCA